This is a non-coding RNA of Taeniopygia guttata (zebra finch), 2139 nucleotides long. The record is from RefSeq and is a predicted model, not a curated record. NCBI's taxonomy places the organism in Eukaryota, Metazoa, Chordata, Aves, Passeriformes, Estrildidae.
UGAAAUCUGUAGGCUGCUAAAGAAGAUCAUACAGUGCCCUGGAUGCAGACAUCUCUCCUGCUGGCUGGGUGAUACAGGUGGAGGAACUGUGCUUGAGAAUUCUUCCAGGCAUGACCCAGAAAUGAAACUUUAGCACCUGGUUUAAGACUAGAAGCAGCGCACUGUAGAGGCAGCUGAAGAAUUUUUGGAUGCAGGCACAUUAAGACCUUUCUGCGGCAGUAACCCAUGAAACUUCCUGGGUUUGUCUCCUUUGCAAUCUCCACAAGAAGUCUCUAGCAUCACUGUGGAAGAUUGUGCUGCAAAUGGAAAGUAGAAGUGGUAGUUUCUGGUUUUCACUGGAGUGUGAACUGCUGCAGUUUCUUUGGUGAAUGACUGAUACAGUGACCUCAUCAUAUGGAAUGGUUCCUAUUUUCUCUGGUUUAUUAUAGACACCUAUUCAUCAAAAGGAGGCUGAGUCUGCAAGUGCCAAAAAGAUGCAGCAGCAGAACUUGAGGGAAGUCUUGAGCUGUUGACUAUUUGCAGAGGUAGAGCUCUGCCUUCCCAGAAUUUCUCUUCUCUAGAGAAGGAAGACAGAAUUUUUAGGUGACUAUAACUAUAUGCUCAACUAUAUGCUGUUUAAGGAGUACCUGUCAGCUGCAGACAGCCUAAUCCAGUGGAAUCAUAUCCUGAAGAACGAAAAACACAAAUACCCUCCUGCCUUUCCCCUUGUUUUUGUGUGUCCCCACACAGGAAAUCUCCUCAGUGGUCAUUAUUUCUCAUCUUCUGUGCAACUUGUGUUCUGUUUGGCUCAUCUCCCACCGUGCUUCCCCACCUGGUAGUGGAUUUUGAUGGAGACUCUAAAAUUAAAGCACUGCUGCCUUUUUGUGAAAGAUCUUCACAACUUAGGUGCCUACAACACCCUAAGACAGCAGAUGAAUAACUGACAAUUACAUUGUUUCAUUCAGAAACAUGCAGAAGUGGUAUUUUUAUCAAGGCCCACAUGGUAGAGGCCACAGCAAAGUUCAUCUUCCCAAUACAUGAGAAUUCGUGCCUUUACUUCCAUCAUGCUACCUAAUGCAGGAUGUGAGAAUCGAUAUACCAGGAAAAAAGACUCUUAAUUUUACUUUCUUCUGUCAACUUCAGUGCAGAAAGUGGCAGAUGCCUUGGGGAGGUCUGGUUUGUUCCAUGUGAGACUAGAAAGAACCUAGAAUGUGUCCAGCCAAAAAAAAAAAAAAAAAAAAAAAAGCUGCUGCUUUUAAUCUAAACAGAAUAAUUAAUGUUUUAGCUUAAGGAAUUAAAAGAAUAUAGUCAUUUAUCUGCUCUGAUCUAUGUAUUACAAUUCUAAAUGGGGUGGCAGCAAAGAAAUUAAGGUAGGGAGUGUUUAUUCCUCUAGUUCUUUUUUUGUUUUGUUUUAAUUAUUUUAUUAAAAGUGUCACCAUUUCGAGUAUGAGGAGGUGUAAGUAACAAAGUAGAGAUAACUUAAGCUGUAAGUAAAUGCUACUUGGUAGGGAGUAUUAGAUCAAAAGUCUGAUCUAUCUGAUUUGUAACUGCUGCAUGUGUGUUAUCCAGUGUUGCAAUAUCCAUUUAUUUGCAUUUUUUUCUGAUGCAUCUAGACUUAGAAACACAUGAAAGAUGCAUAUUUUUAUUAAAAAAAUGUGAAAAAGAGUCAUGUAAUUAUUACUAUCUGGCUACUUGUUCUCUCUCUGGGAAGUUGAUGUUCAGGGUAGAUAGAAGCAGCUAUGUUUUUCUAGAUGUGUAUGGCAACCUGCUGAUUGCUGUCUCACCAGAAUAAACUCCAAACCUUUCCAGCUGUUCUUAAUCUGGCCCCUUAACCUUUAAAAAAACCAGAGGCUUUCCAUUCCUCAGAGCCAAACUUUGCUAACAAUAUCUAGGUUGUUUUCAAACCAAGCUUCAAACAUAAAAAUGACUAAUAAAUCCAUAUUCCGUAAUGGUUAGGCUGGGAAACUAUUAUUUUAAAACAGACUCAGUUUUUAUGACCAAUUUCUAAUAAAAAUCCCAAGUAUGCUUCACUAAUGCUACCAUUUCAGAUACUCAGAUCCCGGAUGAUAGGCAUGAUAUCCAGAUAGAUGCACCAAUAAAUAUGUAAAAGCUAUAAAUCUGUCUCAAAUUAGUGAUUUGUGGAUGUGCAAGGGGGAAGAG